Molecule: long non-coding RNA, 528 nt
Organism: Sander lucioperca (pikeperch)
Lineage: Eukaryota; Metazoa; Chordata; Actinopteri; Perciformes; Percidae
Exons: 2
Source: RefSeq, a predicted model, not a curated record
CCCGUUCACCUGCAGCCUCACCAGUGUUCCUGUGUUGAAGAAGCACCAGCUGGUCUCUGCUACAAUCCCACUGCAGGAAAAGAUGUGUAGGAAACACAACAAGCUGAUGGAGAUCUACUGUCAGACAGACAAGCAGCUUGUUUGCUUUCUGUGCGUUUUAUAGAUAAGCAUAAGGGCCAUGGAACAAUUCCUGUUUCAAGACCGAAGGCUGACCCAGAGAGUUGUGCCCAGACUGCGCUGAGCUGUGAAAAUAUCUUUGCCGAGCUGAUCUCCAUUCAAAGACGAUGCAGAGAGGUGAAGCAGCUGACCGGAGAUCAGGAGAACACUGCCGUCGCUCAGGCUCAAGAGCUGAAGCUGCAGCUGGAGGAGGAGAUCAGCACGCUGAGGAGAGACUGACCAUCACAUCCAUAUGAUUAGGGUGCCAGACACUAUAGUGUUUUUGACCUUUUUUUUUUUUUUUUUUUUUUAAGAAGAUGUUUUAAAGAUUCUUUGAAAUGCAUGCAUUGUUGAAUAAACAAGUUUCCUGCA